GACGAACGCUGGCGGCGUGCUUAACACAUGCAAGUCGAACGGAAAGGCCCUGCUUUUGUGGGGUGCUCGAGUGGCGAACGGGUGAGUAACACGUGAGUAACCUGCCCUUGACUUUGGGAUAACUUCAGGAAACUGGGGCUAAUACCGGAUAGGAGCUCCUGCUGCAUGGUGGGGGUUGGAAAGUUUCGGCGGUUGGGGAUGGACUCGCGGCUUAUCAGCUUGUUGGUGGGGUAGUUGCUUACCAAGGAUUUGACGGGUAGCCGGCCUGAGAGGGUGACCGGCCACAUUGGGACUGAGAGACGGCCCAGACGACAACGGGAGGCAGCAGUGGGGAAUAUUGCACAAUGGGAGGAAGCCUGAUGCAGCAACGCCGCGUGCGGGAUGACGGCCUUCGGGUUGUAAACCGCUUUCGCCUGUGACGAAGCGGGAGUGACGGUAAUGGGUAAAGAAGCACCGGCUAACUACGUG
RNAcentral lists this ribosomal RNA (468 nucleotides) under uncultured bacterium. RNAcentral describes it as "partial 16S ribosomal RNA". It matches the Rfam family "Bacterial small subunit ribosomal RNA", at positions 28 to 507 of the family's 1533-position model. The record is from RNAcentral.